CUCAGUGAUACACAGAACGGUUUUGUAAUAUGAGGAAGUAAACUACAUUAAGAGAGAAAAACACAGUCAUUACUGAGGACUGACUGUUGAGACAGAGCUGGAUUUGGGAAAAUUAUUACUGAGAUGAUUCAUAACUCACUCUGAGGAUCAAUAUCUGUAUCUGCUUUUAGAUGAAACCAUGGCCUCCAGAAUGAAUCUCUCUGAAGAACAUCACACACAGAUAAAGACAGUCAAGAGUCUGAUUCAGCGUUUUGAAUCAGGUUUACCUGAACACAUCGAUGUGUCUGUGAGGAAACAUCCUUCAGAUCUCUGCAGAGAGGAAGACUCUUCUGUUGAGUCCAGGAACGCUUGGAAUCCGGACCAGAGCACACACCUCACACACACAGAGUAACAGACUUCGGGAGCAGAUCACUGGAGCAGACAGACUGGGGUACACCGGAGACACAAGGCUGGAGAGAACACUGGAGGUAAGUACACAAAGAGGUAAGUAGCAGGUAAGACGCUGUGAUAGCAUAAGGAGUCUACUUCGUAUGAACGAGACCAGACAAUGAGGUGUUGUGAGGUGUGUGCUUAUAUGCCAGUGUUGAUUGGUGAUCAGAUGAUGUGCAGGUGUGGCUGAUUAUAACUCGGGUGAGGGGGUGCGCUGUGACUGGCUGGUGACAGAGCCUGGUUGAUCCGUAACACCCAUUGCCAUUGUUCAGUACUCAAGUGAAAGAGAUGAACAUUAAAGGGAGGUUGAAACAGUAAAGGCGUUUCUGUCAGAGCAGUGUGAGAUUUUCAGAAACAGUUUGUAGCAAAUUAGCUUAAAAGGGAAUUGUAUAUAAAUAAUUACAAUUACAAUUAUGUAUAUCGGCUGACAGUAAUAACUGUAGUAGAAUUAAAUUGCUAUCAACUGAUCUGUUCGUCCAGCGACCAUUCAGUGUAAGUUCAUAUCAACUCUAAGAAAGGAUAUUUUCAUGGCCACAGAAAAUACUUUCUUAAGUAUUAAUGUAUUAGAGCAUGUAGUAAGGAUCGAAAAUCGUAAAGGGACAUUAACUUGCAAGGCAGAACCAGAAACUCAUGUAAUUUGUGCACACAACUUUUAUUAACUAAACGCUAACACACAUAACUAAUCUAAACAAACAAACAAACAAACAAACAUACAGCAGAAGCAGAAGAGCUUUUUCAGAAGAGCGUGCAUAGGCGGAACUGUGCGUGAGCCCUCCAAGGUCUGCGAAGAGUCACACCUCUCAUGAUAGGCUUGACCAAUGAG
Molecule: long non-coding RNA, 1252 nt
Organism: Onychostoma macrolepis
Lineage: Eukaryota; Metazoa; Chordata; Actinopteri; Cypriniformes; Cyprinidae
Exons: 4
Source: RefSeq, a predicted model, not a curated record